AGUGAACGCUGGCGGUAGGCCUAACACAUGCAAGUCGAACGGCAGCACAGUAAGAGCUUGCUCUUACGGGUGGCGAGUGGCGGACGGGUGAGGAAUACAUCGGAAUCUACUUUUUCGUGGGGGAUAAUGUAGGGAAACUUACGCUAAUACCGCAUACGACCUACGGGUGAAAGCAGGGGAUCUUCGGACCUUACGCGAUUGAAUGAGCCGAUGUCGGAUUAGCUAGUUGGCGGGGUAAAGGCCCACCAAGGCGACGAUCCGUAGCUGGUCCGAGAGGGUGAUCAGCCACACUGGAACUGAGACACGGUCCAGACUCCUACGGGAGGCGGCGGUGGGGAAUAUUGGACAAUGGGCGCAAGCCUGAUCCAGCCAUACCGCGUGGGUGAAGAAGGCCUUCGGGUUGUAAAGCCCUUUUGUUGGGAAAGAAAAGCAGCAGGUUAAUACCCCGCUGUUCUGACGGUACCCAAAGAAUAAGCACCGGCUAACUUCGUG
Molecule: ribosomal RNA, 492 nt
Filed under: uncultured bacterium
Lineage: Bacteria
Description: partial 16S ribosomal RNA
Rfam family: Bacterial small subunit ribosomal RNA
Source: RNAcentral